This 460-nucleotide ribosomal RNA is filed under the name uncultured bacterium. RNAcentral's name for it is "partial 16S ribosomal RNA". It matches the Rfam family "Bacterial small subunit ribosomal RNA", at positions 28 to 507 of the family's 1533-position model. The record is from RNAcentral.
GAUGAACGCUGGCGGCAUGCCUAACACAUGCAAGUCGGACGGGACUUUCUUCUUCCAUUGUCGGACUGGAUUGUAACGCGUAGGAACGUGCGGUUGAGAAGGGAAUAACUGAUGUAAACGGCUGCUAAGACCACGAAGGCUGAGGAGCAAAAGAUAGAAUCCACCUGUGGAGGCGGUCGCGCCUCAUAAGCUAGUUGGUGCGGCGAUAGCUUACCAAGGCGAGGAUCCAUAGCUGACCCGAGAGGGUGAUGAGCCACACUGGGACUGCGACACGGCCCAGACUCGUACGGGAGGCAGCAGUAGGGAAUCUUGGGCAAUGGGCGAAAGUCUGAUCCAGCAAUGCCGCGUGGGUGAAGAAGGUUUUCGGGUGGUAAAGCACUGUUGUUAGGGAAGAUGAACGUCGUUUCCAACUGAAGAUGCAAUGACGGUAUCUAACGAAUAAGCAACGGCUAACUCCGUG